GUUUUACUCUCUUGUCCUCCCUUCACUCUUUUCUGUGUGUUUAUGUUGCUCUGCAGUGUCUUCUCCUUGAGAUUCUGUUGAUGGUGGUUCCUGGUUAUUUAUUUUAUGUUCUUGUCAACAGAGAUAGUGUGGACUACAAAGGGACGGGCGCGACCUCCAAGAUUCUACCACACUGGCUGUUUCAAGGCUUAUACUACCCUUCCCAAGAGGCAGCAGGAAGGAAGCUUGAGAGGCCCCAUUCCUUGAUGGAGACAGCAUGGUUCUGGGGAGCUCCUGAAACACAGUGAGAAGGUGCUGCCAUGGCAUAGGACAGACAUCCCGCUGCUUGAGCCAAGAAGCACCUGCAGUGCACUUGACCCCAUCACACUUGCGGACUGAAGUUCUCACUGAAUUGGACUGUUUUUCCUUUGCUGUCAUUUGCAUAACACUCAGCUCUCUGUGACUUUGACUGGUUUGCUUUUUUUUCCACCUGUCCUUUUAUUUUCUUGGUCUGGGAAUUAUAAAAAAAGAAUUUCUUUAUCUGCUAUAAUUCUGUGAUAAACUUAGCCUUGUUGAGGCUCCUAGGGAAUUUCUGAAUUGCAGUUUCACAUCAAUUAGUAAGUGGGGCUAUACAGUUUGAUUUGUAUCUUGCCCAUUUUUAGAUUAAAAAUAUAUUUUCUUUUUUGCAAAAUUUGAACUCAGGUAAUGACCUGAGUCACAGUUACUUAGCUACUGAAAAGAUCUCAAUGUGACAGUGGCUGGAGUUAAAAUAUAAUCAAACAUACAUUAUACCUGGGGCUUUUACACAUUAUCUGGCAUAAAUGUUUCAGUACAAAGGAACAUAAACCUUAUGAGUUGAAAUGUAAUCCUCUCUGAUCCUGAAGCUAAAAUAGCAAAAGUCUAUGAAUGUCAAAAGUAGCCUUAAGUACCACAAAUCUGAGCCAAUCAACACUGGAAGAUUGCAAAGAUUCAAAAACCCGUUGUCUAAGAUAAAGCAGGAACAGAGGAGCAGCUGACCUCAUCCACAAUGUUGCUCAAGUGUCUCUGUAGCUUUCCCUACUUUGGGGGUGGUAAAGAACGUGGCCCAUUUCUGUGAUUAGGUUUACCGAAACUGUAGUAUUUCUGCCUGUCCUGUAACCAUGCCUACCUCCCAAUAAAAAUGUUUUCAGUUGACUCAGCAA
RNAcentral lists this long non-coding RNA (1160 nucleotides) under Cavia porcellus (domestic guinea pig). RNAcentral's name for it is "lncRNA (ENSCPOG00000033636.1)". Lineage: Eukaryota; Metazoa; Chordata; Mammalia; Rodentia; Caviidae. The record is from RNAcentral.